GCUCUGAAUCGAGCGGACGGAAGGGAGCUUGCUCCCGGAUGUUAGCGGCGGACGGGUGAGUAACACGUGGGUAACCUGCCUGUAAGACUGGGAUAACUCCGGGAAACCGGAGCUAAUACCGGAUAGUUCCUUGAACCGCAUGGGUCAAGGAUGAGAGACAGUGUCGGCUGUGACUUUCAUAUGGACCCGCGGCGCAUUAUCUAUUUGGGGAGGUGACGGCUCUCCCCGGCGACAAUGCGUAUCCGACCUGAGAGGGGGAGCGGCCCCACUGGGACUGAGACACGGCCCCCACUCCUACGGGAGGCGCCACUAGGGAAUCUUCCCCAAUGGACGAAAGUCUGACAGAGCAACGCCCCGUGAGUGAUGAAAGUUUUCUGAUCUUAAAGCUCUGUUGUUAGGAAAACACAUGCGAGAGUAACUGCUCGCACCUUGAGGUACCUAACCAGAAACCACGGCUAACUACGUGCCCCACCCGCGGUAAUACAUAUGUGGCAAGCGCUAUCCAAAAUUAUUGAGCUUAGGGGCGCGCGGU
Molecule: ribosomal RNA, 532 nt
Filed under: Bacillus safensis
Lineage: Bacteria; Bacillati; Bacillota; Bacilli; Caryophanales; Bacillaceae
Description: bacterial SSU rRNA
Rfam family: Bacterial small subunit ribosomal RNA
Source: RNAcentral